CACACUAUCAUUAACUGAAUCCAUAGGUUAAUGAGGCGAACCGGGGGAACUGAAACAUCUAAGUACCCCGAGGAAAAGAAAUCAACCGAGAUUCCCCCAGUAGCGGCGAGCGAACGGGGAGCAGCCCAGAGCCUGAAUCAGUGUGUGUGUUAGUGGAAGCGUCUGGAAAGGCGCGCGAUACAGGGUGACAGCCCCGUACACAAAAAUGCACAUGCUGUGAGCUCGAUGAGUAGGGCGGGACACGUGGUAUCCUGUCUGAAUAUGGGGGGACCAUCCUCCAAGGCUAAAUACUCCUGACUGACCGAUAGUGAACCAGUACCGUGAGGGAAAGGCGAAAAGAACCCCGGCGAGGGGAGUGAAAAAGAACCUGAAACCGUGUACGUACAAGCAGUGGGAGCACGCUUAGGCGUGUGACUGCGUACCUUUUGUAUAAUGGGUCAGCGACUUAUAUUCUGUAGCAAGGUUAACCGAAUAGGGGAGCCGAAGGGAAACCGAGUCUUAACUGGGCGUUAAGUUGCAGGGUAUAGACCCGAAACCCGGUGAUCUAGCCAUGGGCAGGUUGAAGGUUGGGUAACACUAACUGGAGGACCGAACCGACUAAUGUUGAAAAAUUAGCGGAUGACUUGUGGCUGGGGGUGAAAGGCCAAUCAAACCGGGAGAUAGCUGGUUCUCCCCGAAAGCUAUUUAGGUAGCGCCUCGUGAAUUCAUCUCCGGGGGUAGAGCACUGUUUCGGCAAGGGGGUCAUCCCGACUUACCAACCCGAUGCAAACUGCGAAUACCGGAGAAUGUUAUCACGGGAGACACACGGCGGGUGCUAACGUCCGUCGUGAAGAGGGAAACAACCCAGACCGCCAGCUAAGGUCCCAAAGUCAUGGUUAAGUGGGAAACGAUGUGGGAAGGCCCAGACAGCCAGGAUGUUGGCUUAGAAGCAGCCAUCAUUUAAAGAAAGCGUAAUAGCUCACUGGUCGAGUCGGCCUGCGCGGAAGAUGUAACGGGGCUAAACCAUGCACCGAAGCUGCGGCAGCGACGCUGAUGCGUUGUUGGGUAGGGGAGCGUUCUGUAAGCCUGUGAAGGUGUGCUGUGAGGUAUGCUGGAGGUAUCAGAAGUGCGAAUGCUGACAUAAGUAACGAUAAAGCGGGUGAAAAGCCCGCUCGCCGGAAGACCAAGGGUUCCUGUCCAACGUUAAUCGGGGCAGGGUGAGUCGACCCCUAAGGCGAGGCCGAAAGGCGUAGUCGAUGGGAAACAGGUUAAUAUUCCUGUACUUGGUGUUACUGCGAAGGGGGGACGGAGAAGGCUAUGUUGGCCGGGCGACGGUUGUCCCGGUUUAAGCGUGUAGGCUGGUUUUCCAGGCAAAUCCGGAAAAUCAAGGCUGAGGCGUGAUGACGAGGCACUACGGUGCUGAAGCAACAAAUGCCCUGCUUCCAGGAAAAGCCUCUAAGCAUCAGGUAACAUCAAAUCGUACCCCAAACCGACACAGGUGGUCAGGUAGAGAAUACCAAGGCGCUUGAGAGAACUCGGGUGAAGGAACUAGGCAAAAUGGUGCCGUAACUUCGGGAGAAGGCACGCUGAUAUGUAGGUGAAGUCCCUCGCGGAUGGAGCUGAAAUCAGUCGAAGAUACCAGCUGGCUGCAACUGUUUAUUAAAAACACAGCACUGUGCAAACACGAAAGUGGACGUAUACGGUGUGACGCCUGCCCGGUGCCGGAAGGUUAAUUGAUGGGGUCAGCGCAAGCGAAGCUCUUGAUCGAAGCCCCGGUAAACGGCGGCCGUAACUAUAACGGUCCUAAGGUAGCGAAAUUCCUUGUCGGGUAAGUUCCGACCUGCACGAAUGGCGUAAUGAUGGCCAGGCUGUCUCCACCCGAGACUCAGUGAAAUUGAACUCGCUGUGAAGAUGCAGUGUACCCGCGGCAAGACGGAAAGACCCCGUGAACCUUUACUAUAGCUUGACACUGAACAUUGAGCCUUGAUGUGUAGGAUAGGUGGGAGGCUUUGAAGUGUGGACGCCAGUCUGCAUGGAGCCGACCUUGAAAUACCACCCUUUAAUGUUUGAUGUUCUAACGUGGACCCGUGAUCCGGGUUGCGGACAGUGUCUGGUGGGUAGUUUGACUGGGGCGGUCUCCUCCUAAAGAGUAACGGAGGAGCACGAAGGUUGGCUAAUCCUGGUCGGACAUCAGGAGGUUAGUGCAAUGGCAUAAGCCAGCUUGACUGCGAGCGUGACGGCGCGAGCAGGUGCGAAAGCAGGUCAUAGUGAUCCGGUGGUUCUGAAUGGAAGGGCCAUCGCUCAACGGAUAAAAGGUACUCCGGGGAUAACAGGCUGAUACCGCCCAAGAGUUCAUAUCGACGGCGGUGUUUGGCACCUCGAUGUCGGCUCAUCACAUCCUGGGGCUGAAGUAGGUCCCAAGGGUAUGGCUGUUCGCCAUUUAAAGUGGUACGCGAGCUGGGUUUAGAACGUCGUGAGACAGUUCGGUCCCUAUCUGCCGUGGGCGCUGGAGAACUGAGGGGGGCUGCUCCUAGUACGAGAGGACCGGAGUGGACGCAUCACUGGUGUUCGGGUUGUCAUGCCAAUGGCACUGCCCGGUAGCUAAAUGCGGAAGAGAUAAGUGCUGAAAGCAUCUAAGCACGAAACUUGCCCCGAGAUGAGUUCUCCCUGACUCCUUGAGAGUCCUGAAGGAACGUUGAAGACGACGACGUUGAUAGGCCGGGUGUGUAAGCGCAGCGAUGCGUUGAGCUAACCGGUACUAAUGAACCGUGAGGCUUAACCUUACAACGCCGAAGGUGUUU
RNAcentral lists this ribosomal RNA (2780 nucleotides) under Escherichia coli. RNAcentral describes it as "bacterial LSU rRNA". It matches the Rfam family "Bacterial large subunit ribosomal RNA". Lineage: Bacteria; Pseudomonadati; Pseudomonadota; Gammaproteobacteria; Enterobacterales; Enterobacteriaceae. The record is from RNAcentral.